This 1310-nucleotide long non-coding RNA is filed under the name Helianthus annuus (common sunflower). RNAcentral describes it as "hypothetical non coding rna". Lineage: Eukaryota; Viridiplantae; Streptophyta; Magnoliopsida; Asterales; Asteraceae. The record is from RNAcentral.
UUUCUCACCAUCCUCUAUCUUUCUAAAUAUUCUGUUUUCUUUUAUUUUAUUUAUAUUAGUUUUAAAUAAUAAUAAGGCUUUGCUCUGUUUUAAGUAUUUUAAUUCCCGAUCACCGCUAUCCUUUCCGAUUGAUCUGAGUCCCAUAACGCAUGUCAGGGCUCUGCCCGACUAAGUUCGUUGGGAUUCUGUCUCGGGACAUCGGGACAAGGUUGAUUUAGGGGUACUAUACUUACCACGAGUGCAUUAUAUAUUUUUAAUAGCUCAGAAGUUAUACCCAAAAUUUAUACCAGGAGUCUUUCUAGUUGAACCCUAAAGUUACACAGUGGGUCCAUUCCUUUUUCUCACCAUUUUAUUCUCUUUUUGUAAUUUACCCAAAACUAUUAUUUAUUAUUCUAUUCUCAUCAAAAUUCAUGCCUAUUAUUUUAUUUACCCAAUAGGAAACCAUAGUUUAGACACCCAAGUAAUCCUGCACAACUCCUAAAAAUUUCAUAACAAUCAGAAUUGGGAUCAGGGCCCCUAAAACUCAGAGGGGGCAAUCCCCAUUCGAUAUUAUCUUCAAAAUCUGUUGUCAAAAUUUAAUUUUAAUAUUUCAUCGACUCAGCAAGCCUACACCCACACGUGGCCACCCUAUAGUGAAAAUGUGUCCCUUACGGACCGUAAGGGAUUAGGCUUACGGUCCGUAAGCAUGUCCAAUUUUUGUGUAUAAAUAGCAGACAUUGGCACUCGAUUUUGGACACUGAAACGACUUAAAAACUCCAAAUAUACGCUGAGAUAUUCUCUGAUUACUACCAAACACACACUAGCUCGAAUUCUGCUACGAUACAGGGUAUUAACUCGAUCGCUAUUACGAUUCAUUUUCCGACCGAUCAAUAUAUCCAAUGGAUGUUUAAGUGCCGCCCACAUUAGGGUUAUACUUUGUCGUUCGUCGUUAAUUCGAUGGAUGUUUAAGUAUAGCACUUUGUCGUUCGUUGUGAGAAUUUGAUCUCGUGAGUUAUCGUAAUUGUUGUAUUAAGUUACCUACCUAGUUCGUGUGCACUAGGUUACAAGGCUAAAUCAAUAGGCUAAGCUCUGCCGGUUUAAAUCUGCAAUAUAUCAAGGCUUAUCUGUAGACUAAACUUUGGCCGUAUGAAUCUGCAUGAUUAUAAUGUAAUUACAGUAGAUUGGAGUAAGGAUUGGAUCCGGCACUAAAAGACUUCAAGAAGUGGCUUAUUUUAUUAAUUAAAUCAAAUUAAGAAAUAUUGUUUUAUGUAAAUCAAAUUUAUCUUUAUUAAAGCUACCAUUAUAAAACAUGGGUUUAUCCCAUCUAUUUA